UAGCUUCGGAGAACCACGGCCUAC
This 24-nucleotide non-coding RNA is filed under the name Mus musculus (house mouse). The record is from RNAcentral. Lineage: Eukaryota; Metazoa; Chordata; Mammalia; Rodentia; Muridae.